GUAGAAAGGAGCCUAAAGGAAGGACAAGAAAAUAAGAUUUUAAUUCAGAAAUUCCAAGUGCUUUUCCAGGCCUGUUACUCCCUAAGCUAGUCUCUCUUCCAGGCCUGUUACUCCCAAAUUCCUAGGAAAUCUUUAAAUCUAUCUGUGCACUGUUAAUUAAUACCACCCCCCACAAAUAGAUUUAGAGGAGAAAGAUAGGUUAUCUAGAGAAAGCUGUAAUUUAGGGGACUUUCCAGCAGUAUCUAUUGAUCAGACGAUGAAGAACAGGUCAGCCUGAGGAUCCUGAGAUUGACCAGACCACCAGAAACCAUCUUGAGAUCACCAGCCUGAUCCCAUUCCCAUCCCGACCUCUGCUCCACAAGCAGCUCUCAGCCAUGGCCUCCCAGGGCCCAGCCACUUCUCUGUUCCUGCAGGACCUUGGACCUCCAGCACCCAGUGGAUUUCCAGGGGCUCCCCAACAGCUGGCCCUGUGUUCCAAGUUCAGUGGAGGUAGAGUGCCACCACUCUCAGCCACCGCCCGAGCUGUGGCUAGGAGCCAGUUCUUUGAAAAGCCAAAAUGUCACUGACCUGACAUGCUGCCACCAAAAAAUGGGGCUCCCCACACUGUGACAAGAGGAGACAGUCCUAACAGAACAGAAGGGCUCUCCUGAAAAGGCCCAGAGCUGGUGGCUACAGCUAUAGGGCAGGGGACCCUACACUCUGUGCUAGAGGGGCUAGAGGCUAAGACUGGUGUCCAUCCUCAUUGGUUCAAAUCUGCCUCUGCUCUUUAUUAGUUCUGCUGCCUUAGGCAAAUUACUUCAUCUCUCUGAGGCUCAGUUUACACAGGUAUAAAGAUUAGGAUAGGGUUGGGGUUGUUGUUCACUGAUAGAGCACCCUGGAUUCAAUUCUCAGCACAGGGGGUGAGGACAGGGGGACACCAGCCCAGGACAGAGCUAGGACACAGCAAUGCUUCUGGGAGAAAAUAAGUCCAAGGCAUGAGAAAGGAGCCAAGCUGUACUGGGUAGUCAGGGAUACAUGUGCAUGUCAGGGACUGGCUGGCCUGGGACAACCAAGAGAGUGUCCCUCACCCAAUAUAGGGCUCUUGAGGCAAUCACUGUCCCUUCCAGCCCUCCCAGGCCCAAAGCCUUCAUCUUCCUCAUGCAUUUCUAAUCUUCUUGGUAACCCCCAAUUCCUGUGGAUCAUGUCUAGGGCUGCUGUCUCUUCUUUAUAUGUGUGUGUGUGGUACUAGGGAUUGAACCCAGGAGCAUUCUACUACCAAGCCAUAUCUCUAGCUCUUCUUACGUUUCAUUUUGAGACAGGGUUUCACCAAUUUGCUAAGGCUAGUCUCCAACUUGUGACCCUCCUGCCUCAGCCUCCUGAGUCUCUGGGAUUACAGGUAUGAGUCAAGGUGCCAGUCCAGGAUUACUGACUUUUUUGGUACUGGUUAUUGAACCCAGGGGUUCUUUACCACUGAGCCACAUUCCCUGCCCUUUUUAUUUUUUAUUUUGAGACAGGGUCUCACUAAGUUGCCUAGGUCCUUACUAAAUUGCUGAGGCUGGCCUCAAACUUGUGAUCCUCCUACUUCAGCCUCUAGAGCUGGUGGGAUUACAGGGGUGUGCCACUUUGCCCAGCUGACUCUUCUUUAAAUGAGGAUAUUAUCAGCGUAGAGCCUUAUACUUCAGGAAGCACCCUGGCUCAUGAUGGCACAACCAGGAAGUAGCAGAUCCAGCAAGCCUGGCCUCCUUGCUCCUCUAAAUGGCGCCUUCUCAGCUUGGCUCACAGGACUCAUGGAACUUAGAGGACCAUAGAGAAAAAUAGCACUGCACAUACACACGCUCACUCUCAGGAGCACACCUGUGCAAGGACACAGACCCAGCUAGGCACAAAUAACCAAAUGAGGGCUGGGGUUGUGGCUUAGUGGUAGAGUGCUUGCCUAGCACGUGUGAGGCACUGGGUUCGAUUUUCAG
RNAcentral lists this long non-coding RNA (1946 nucleotides) under Marmota monax (woodchuck). The record is from RNAcentral. Lineage: Eukaryota; Metazoa; Chordata; Mammalia; Rodentia; Sciuridae.